This 2810-nucleotide long non-coding RNA is filed under the name Strongylocentrotus purpuratus (purple sea urchin). RNAcentral describes it as "uncharacterized LOC115925425". The record is from RNAcentral. Lineage: Eukaryota; Metazoa; Echinodermata; Echinoidea; Camarodonta; Strongylocentrotidae.
UGAGACCGUCAUAACUACAAGUUCACCGACAUCCCAUUGAAACGUGUGUUAAACUUAAUACACACAUUUCAAUGGGAUGUCGUUGGACUUGUACUUAUGACGGUUUCAUGAAACGCUGCCCAGAUCCCCGACACCGAACACCUGGGGAGGUUUCACGAAACCGUCAUUAAGUCUAACUUUUUAGACAUCGUAUUGAAACGUGUGAUAGAGAUCUAACACGUGUUUCUACCAAAUCUCCACGAGCUUAGACUUAUGGCAGUUUCGAGAAACUAGCACUCGCUCUGAAUCUGGCGCAUCCACGGCCACGCUGGAAGCUCGGAUCUGACCGCCUGCGAUGCAUGCCCCGGACGCGACGGCAGCCCGCUCUCGAGCUAACUCUCCAUCGCAUCGUGCAGCUGUCUUUCUUCUCUUUCACGAACACGGUUGCCCGACUGAAACAACUAGACCACAUUAGUAUCCUGACAUCAAGAUAGGUCUCUAUUAUGUGCCCAUCCGUCUGAUUAAGUCUUCUUUGGAGCAAACUGUCAGACAUUUGCGGUAGUAUACAGCUGAAAUGGAAUUUCCGUUCAACCAAACAGUAUACUUCAAGGCUAUUUCUCAGCGACGAGGGUUAGCUCCAGGUAGCAGUAGCAGGCUGGAAGUAACACACAUGUGCAGUGUUUCAGUCGAAAACGAAUACCACCCAUUCAAAAUCGGUUAUAGGAUCUUGUCCAUAUGUCCAUAUUUUUGUAUGCAUGUGAAACAUGGACCAUGACAGCAGACAUUAAAAGAAGGAUACAGGCACUGGAGAUGAAAUGUUUCCGCAAACUCCUCAGUAUCUGGUAUAGAGAUCACAUAACCAACGAGGUAGUGAAAAUCAGAAUUGGAAACACCAUAGGGCCGUAUGAAGACCUCCUGACUUCAGUGAAAAGAUGCAAAGUAAAGUGGUAUGGGUAUGUCACAUGAUCAUUUGGACUGGCCAAGACUAUUCUACAUGGAACAGUACAAGGAGGGAGACGAAAAGGCAGGCAGAGGAAACGAUGGGAAGACAACAUUAACGAGUGACCUUGACUGAAACAUCAUACUUCGUAAAGCCAAGAACCACGAGGAGUGGAGGAAGCUGGUAGUAUAAAUCUUCAGUGGUGCCCCAAGGGUCAGCCAGACUGUGGGAUAGGUGAAGGUGAAGGUGAAGGAAGCUAAGAAUCAGAUAGUUAGACAUUAUAUUGGAUCAUUUAUCCUUUCCUUCAAAAGGAAUGUUGCUUUAUACUGUAGCACAUAAACAAUGCUUUUUAAUUGGCAAUAUUUCAGUUCAGUACGCUUGUUAUUAAUUUCAUCAAACAUUAAAAUGUAAAAGGGAGAAACACUGUCAUUUGAAAAUCAAAAUGUAAGUCAUAAAAAUUUCACUGUCUAACUAUCUGAAUCUUGUCAGGAUCCAUGUACGAGUUAGUGCAAUUCUUUUCUCUUCACUACAACCGCAUUGAUUUACUUUAAUAGCAUGUUACUAGGUACAUCAAUUGAUGAGAAAAAGCAGCAAAACGCUUUAAAUUUGUUGUAGUCUUAAAAUUAAAGUUGGAAGUUUCCUAAAAAGGGAAUUUUAGAACACUCCUUCAACUGACAUGCACGGAUGUUAUACUUAUGAAUUUCCAUACAUUAAUGUCUUUGUAAUGCAUGUUACCAAACAAAAAAAAGUAUCAUCAACCAUUCUUGUCAUUUCCUGUGCAAUUAUUUUCACAUCCUGGCUUAACAGUACAUAAACAGUGCUCUUUUAUUUUCAAUAUUUCAGAAAAAUGCAUUUGCAUUAUGAUACAUGCAGGUAUAGUUGGUCAAGUAAGAAUAUAUUUACAGCAUGCUCACUAUGAAUUGAUUAAAUCGCCAUUGAAUCUAAAAGGUAUGUUAUACCUCAUUGUAUAUUCAGAAGGAAAAAGUGUGAGGAUAGCUUUAAAAAAAAAAAAAAUCAUGAGUAUCCAUAAUGAUGUGAAUAUGUACAUGUUUGUUUGUUGCAUAUGAUUCUUCCUUGGUAUCAAAGCUGUAAUAAUUGCAUAUUUAUGAUUCAGCAUAAUACUUUGUUCAUUACAAAAAAAAAUAUGUCAUAAUUUUCCAAAACGGUAGUGUAAAGAAUAAUGUAAGAUUGAGGUAAGAUUGUUACAUAUAUUCUCUAUACGUAUCAACUAAAAUGUAAGUUUUCAAAUGAGAUACUAUUUUGUCCCCAGAUGAAAUAAGUAAUGGAUCUUUUUUGUUAAAUGUCAGCAAAUGAUCUAAAUGAACAUGUGUUCGGGUAUAUCAAAUCUUGUACAUGUAGUUUCUAUAGCUAAUAUAGUUUGGAGGACUUAAAGAUAGAAAAACUGCUGAUUGAUUAAUUACCAUUGUUUGUAUUGUUCACUAUAACCAGCAAGUAAAGGGACAUUUAGUAGAUGCCAAGAAAGUAUUUCCAAAGCAAUUACAUUUCUCUUAUCCUGUAAUGUAUUUUUUGCGUCAAUAAAAGCAAAUGUGAGGGUUGUCCACAUAACAUCACAACUACAGAACAGUUUAAUUGAAAUUAACAUACAUAUUACAUGUAUAUAUGUGUAUUAUGGAAUAACUUAGAAUAUUUCAUAAUUUGUUAUUAUUAUCCAGUUCAUUACAUUUUUACCAAUGUAUUUCUUCAAUAUUUCUACUUUUCCUCAGAGCAUAUGCUGUGAACUAAUGGAUAUUCCUUGUCAGUUCCAUCAUGUUAUGUCAAUGGGCUUACACUGUAUGCGUGUACAUGUCCUUUUUGCAAUGUACAUGUGCUACGAAAAUGUCAACAAUAUUGUUUGAGAUAUAAAAUAUAGAGUUAACAAGUGAAUUAUUCA